RNA transcript from Dipodomys ordii (Ord's kangaroo rat), 735 nucleotides. It is a transcript of the gene named 40S ribosomal protein S3a pseudogene, with no coding region annotated. The transcript has a single exon. Lineage: Eukaryota; Metazoa; Chordata; Mammalia; Rodentia; Heteromyidae. The record is from RefSeq and is a predicted model, not a curated record.
AUGGCAGUCCACAGGAACAAGCACCUUACAAGAGGUGGCAAAAAUGGAAUAAAAAAGAGAAAGCUUUUUUGAUACAUUUUCUAAGAAUGAUCAGUACGAUGUGAAAGCACCAGCCACGUUCAAUAUAAUAAGUAUUGAGGAAACACUAGUCACCAGGACUCAAUGAAUCCAAAUUACAACUGCAUCUGCUGGCAUUAAGGGUCAGGUGUUUGAAGUGAACCCCCUGACCUGCCGAAUGAUGAAGUUGCAUUUAGAAAAGUCAAACUAAGUAAUGAGGAUAAUCAGAGGAAGAACUGCCUGACCAACUUUAUGACAUGGAUCUCAAUGGAGACAAAAUGUACUCCAUGGUCAAAAAAUGGCAGACCAUGACUGAAGCUCCUGUUGAUGUCAUGAGUAUAGAUAGUUACUUGCUUUAUUUGUUCUGUGAUAGUUUUACUAAAAAUCUAACAACAAGAUAAGAGAGAUCUGCUAUGCUCAGCAUCAACUGUUCUGCUAAAUCCUAAAGAUGAUGAUGGAACUUAGGACUGAGAAGUGAAGACAAAUGAAAGAAGUACUUAAUAAAUUGAUUCCAGAAAGCGUUUUGGUGAAAACAUAGAAGAAAAGUCUUACCAGUCCAUCCAUUUCUAGUAUCUUUGUUAGAGAACUAAAAUGCUGAAGAAGCCCAAGUUUGAAUUGGGAAAACUCAUGGAGCUCCAUGGUGAAGGUAAUAGUUCUGGAAAACAAUACCAGGGUUGA